CAGUCGCCGCGGGAAUACGAAGGGGGCUAGCGUUGUUCGGAAUCACUGGGCGUAAAGGGUGCGUAGGCGGAUUCUUAAGUCAGGGGUGGAAUCCCGAGGCUCAACCUCGGAACUGCCUUUGAUACUGGGGAUCUUGAGUCCGGAAGAGGUGAGUGGAACUGCGAGUGUAGAGGUGAAAUUCGUAGAUAUUCGCAAGAACACCGGUGGCGAAGGCGGCUCACUGGUCCGGAACUGACGCUGAGGCACGACAGCGUGGGGAGCAAACAGGAUUAGAUACCCGUGUAGUCCCUGUCUCUUAUAC
This 301-nucleotide ribosomal RNA is filed under the name uncultured bacterium. RNAcentral describes it as "partial 16S ribosomal RNA". It matches the Rfam family "Bacterial small subunit ribosomal RNA", at positions 509 to 807 of the family's 1533-position model. The record is from RNAcentral.